AAGGUAGCCAAAUGCCUUGUCGGGUAAGUUCCGACGUGCAUGAAUGGAUCAACGAGGGCCCCGCUGUCCCCGCCCGGAACCCCGUGAACCCACGUAACCUGGAUGAAUAGUCCAGGGGCCCCCGGCGGGGAGAGAAGUCCCUGUGGAGCUUUACUGCAGCCUGUCGCUGCGGUGCGGCUGGAGGUGCAGAGCGUAGCCGGGAGCCGUCGAUCCCAGCCCCUCCGGGGGCUGGGGGAGGCGCCGAUGUAACACCGGCCACCUCUGGCUGUGCCGCUAACCGGGGCCUGUGCCCUGGGACAACGGCAGGUGGGCAGUUUGGCUGGGGCGGCACCCCCUCGAAAAGGUAUCGAGGGGGCCCAAAGGUCGGCUCAGGCGGGACAGAAACCCGCCGUAGAGUGCAAGGGCAAAAGCCGGCCUGACUGCGCCCUUGACGGUAAGGGGCGCAGGGGGGAAACCCGGGCCUAGCGAUCCAUCGCCUCCCACCGAUGGGGGGCGGUGGUGACAGAAAAGUUACCCCAGGGAUAACAGGCUCGUCGCGGGCGAGAGUCCCCAUCGACCCCGCGGCUUGGUACCUCGAUGUCGGCUCUUCCCAUCCUGGCCGUGCAGCAGCGGCCAAGGGUGCGCCUGUUCGGCGAUUAAAGGGGAACGUGAGCUGGGUUUAGACCGUCGUGAGACAGGUCGGAUGCUAUCUACCGGGGGUGCUGGCCGCCUGAGGGGAAGGCGCCCUUAGUACGAGAGGAACAGGGUGCCGCGGCCUCUGGUCUACCGGUUGUCCUACAGGGCAUAGCCGGGCAGCUACGCCGCGUCCGAUAAGGCCUGAAGGCAUCUAAGGCCGAAGCGGUCCCCGAAAAUAGGCGGCCACUCCCU
Molecule: ribosomal RNA, 867 nt
Filed under: Thermococcus litoralis
Lineage: Archaea; Methanobacteriati; Methanobacteriota; Thermococci; Thermococcales; Thermococcaceae
Description: partial 23S ribosomal RNA
Rfam family: Archaeal large subunit ribosomal RNA
Source: RNAcentral